This 374-nucleotide ribosomal RNA is filed under the name uncultured bacterium. Its description in RNAcentral is "bacterial SSU rRNA". It matches the Rfam family "Bacterial small subunit ribosomal RNA", at positions 524 to 898 of the family's 1533-position model. The record is from RNAcentral.
UACGUAGGGUGCAAGCGUUAAUCGGAAUUACUGGGCGUAAAGCGUGCGCAGGCGGUGAUGUAAGACCGAUGUGAAAUCCCCGGGCUCAACCUGGGAACUGCAUUGGUGACUGCAUCGCUUGAGUAUGGCAGAGGGGGGUAGAAUUCCACGUGUAGCAGUGAAAUGCGUAGAGAUGUGGAGGAAUACCGAUGGCGAAGGCAGCCCCCUGGGUCAAUACUGACGCUCAUGCACGAAAGCGUGGGGAGCAAACAGGAUUAGAUACCCUGGUAGUCCACGCCCUAAACGAUGCCAACUGGUUGUCGGGUCUUCAUUGACUUGGUAACGUAGCUAACGCGUGAAGUUGACCGCCUGGGGAGUACGGUCGCAAGAUUAAA